This is a long non-coding RNA of Ictalurus punctatus (channel catfish), 765 nucleotides long. RefSeq lists it as uncharacterized. The transcript has 3 exons. The record is from RefSeq and is a predicted model, not a curated record. NCBI's taxonomy places the organism in Eukaryota, Metazoa, Chordata, Actinopteri, Siluriformes, Ictaluridae.
GCAGGUGUGUGUCCGUCUGUGUGCUGCUCUCACUCUUGCUGAUGGGUUUCACCAACAGUGUCUCACCUGACUGCAUCUGGGAAGACACGCUCGUCACCUUCAGAUACGGCAGUAUGUCACCCAUCCAUGAUACCUGGGAGUACGGAGUGACACUGGAAAACUGCUGAUGAAGCUCGAGCAGCUGGAUCAGCUCCGGAGAUCUCUUCGCUCUUUCCGCUAUCAGCUCGAUAUACUCGUCUGCCUUCUCGGCAAACCGAUACGCGGCCUGCUUGGAGCUGAAGCUGUAGUAUUUCUCCCUGUGCUUCAGGACGCCGAUGUUCGGAUUGCCUUUGGAAAGUACGAGCCGGCUUUUCUGGACAACAAGCAAACCGGAGGACGCUUGUGGAAAGGUUUCACCCUGAAGUCCAUGUUGAUGCGAAGGUGGUUUGUCCUUUAUUGUGCAGCGUGAAAGACCGAUGCAGCCUUACCACUGACUGCUAGGAAUCAUCAAGAGUUUAGAAUUUGAAUUUUAUAAAGUCAUUGUGUAUUGCUGUCUGUAUGGAAGGGAACUUCCAGGAACUUCGCCUCUGUGAAGGCAGAGAGAUUGGUGUUUCUUAGAUCACAGCUUCAAAACUAAGAUAUAUACCAUCGGGUAGAGAGAGAGAGAGAGAGAGAGAGAGAGAGAGAGAGAGAGAGAGAUAAUAACGGUAAAAUAUUUGCUAACAGAAAGAGCCCGGUUCAAGCAAUGAAUAAGUAAAGAGAAUACUUAUUAAUAAGCGCAAAAGG